This 993-nucleotide long non-coding RNA is filed under the name Coturnix japonica (Japanese quail). Its description in RNAcentral is "lncRNA (ENSCJPG00005006367.1)". Lineage: Eukaryota; Metazoa; Chordata; Aves; Galliformes; Phasianidae. The record is from RNAcentral.
AUGGGGACAUUAUGGGAUGGAUGAGGACAUUGUGAUUGGGACAUUAUGGGAUGGAUGGGGACAUUAUGGGAUGGAUGGGGCUGUCAUGUCAAUGGGAUGGGGGCACUCAGUGGGGUGAAUGGGGACGUCUUGUGGGGCAGAGCUGUGGGGGGCGGCUUGAGGGGGAGCUCAAUGGGGGCAGCUCUAUGGGGUCAGAUCAGUGGGGGGCAUCUCAAUAGGGUCACCUCUAUGGGGGAUGUCCCAAUGGGGUCACCUCUAUGGGGUCACCUCUAUGGGGGAUGUCCCUAUGGGGUCACCUCUAUGGGGUCACCUCUAUGGGGGAUGUCCCAAUGGGGUCACCUCUAUGGGGGACACCUUUAUGGGGACACAUCUAUGGGGUCACAUCUAUGGGGUCACCUCUAUGGGGCCAUCCCAAUGGGGUCAUCCCUAUGGGGUCACUUCUAUGGGGUCAGCUCAGUGGGGGGCAUCCCAAUGGGGUCACCUCUAUGGGGGAUGUCCCUAUGGGGUCACCUCUAUGGGGUCACCUCUAUGGGGUCACCUCUAUGGGGUCAGCUCAGUGGGGGGCAUCCCAAUGGGGUCACCUCUAUGGGGGAUGUCCCUAUGGGGUCACCUCUAUGGGGUCACCUCUAUGGGGGAUGUCCCAAUGGGGUCACCUCUAUGGGGUCAUCUCUAUGGGGUCACCUCUAUGGGGGAUGUCCCUAUGGGGUCACCUCUAUGGGGUCACCUCUAUGGGGGACACCUUUAUGGGGACACGUCUAUGGGGACACAUCUAUGGGGUCACCUCUAUGGGGCCAUCCCUAUGGGGUCACCUCUAUGGGGGACACCUCUAUGGGGACACAUCUAUGGGGACACCUCAAUGGGGCACCUCAAUGGGGGCACCUCAAUGGGGCACCUCAAUGGGGCACCUCAAUGGGGGCACCUCAAUGGGGUCACCUCUAUGGGGGACAUCCCAAUGGGGUUGACUCUAUGGGGUCAUCACAAUGGGGUCCAUAA